This 1347-nucleotide long non-coding RNA is filed under the name Lathyrus oleraceus (garden pea). RNAcentral's name for it is "Pisum sativum (pea) long non-coding RNA (PSAT_LNC009270)". The record is from RNAcentral. Lineage: Eukaryota; Viridiplantae; Streptophyta; Magnoliopsida; Fabales; Fabaceae.
CCUUCAAAAGUGACAACUUCAACUCCUAUUCUACUAUUGUACUGACAAAUUAGUUUUCAUUUUACUUUUAUAUCUGUUUUCUUGCUUUGAAAGUGAUUAUAUGUCUAGCAUAUAUUGUUUACUGUCUAGAUAGGAAAUUAGUUAUUAUAAGGGAAGAGUUACUAUAUAUCAAGGCACCAAAAUUUAGAUGAAAUGAUCUAAACAUUCUAUUUAUGAAUGUCUUAGAGUGCUGAGUAAUGUAUUUGGAGGAAAAGUUCCUUUCUCUAACACAUUAAAUGGGCAUGAGAUUUUUCAUUAGUAACUGGGAUCAGGAUUAAUGCAUAACAACACAUAACAAACAUUGUAACUUUUAUGAUUUAAUCAGAUGCAAGUCAGUCAGUUUGAUCACAAUUUCUUAAAACAUGUGGUUCCAUUCUACCACAGGUGGUCUUGCUUGUAUGGGAAUCUUUCCUGCAUUGGUGUGGGUCAACUCCCCAGUUAGCUAUAUCUGACCCGUAUAUGAUCAAGGUUGAUCACAAUUUCUUAAAACAUGUGGUUCCAUUCUACCACAGGUGGUCUUGCUUGUAUGGGAAUCUUUCCUGCAUUGGUGUGGGUCAACUCCCCAGUUAGCUAUAUCUGACCCGUAUAUGAUCAAGGCAGUGUGGAUUACUAAAUAUGGAGAGUAUGAGAAAGUUCCUUAUAACCCACCAAGAAGUUUUAGAAGAUGUUUUUGGAAAAUAUCAAUAUUUGAAAAUAGUUUUUAAGUGUGUGCACAUGCAUGCAUGUGAGUGUGUGUUUGUGUACGUGUACAUGUGUGCGUGUGCGUGUGUGACUUUAGUAUUUUGAAAGCAUUCAUUUAAUUAUACAUUUAAUCCUAUAAGAAAAUAGAUUACCUGAAACCUCUUGCUUCACUUAAUAUUACAUUUGAUCAUAUAGGAAGAUAAAUAAAUAGACAAAGCAAGUAUCACAGACAAACUUUUUGUAGUUGGCUUCCUGUUUUGGUUAAGUUAUUUAGCUAUUGAUUCUUUUACAGAGAUCACCCGAAACCUCUUACUUUUAUAUUUGAUUCACACUUAAGAUUUGUCCGAUUAUGUUUAUGAUUUUGCUUUAAUUUUUUUUUCAUCAUCAACAUCAAAAUCAAAUGUAUUUGUUCACAACAUAGAACUACAAACAUAGAUCUCAAGAUCAAUGGAUGGAUCUUCACUCAAGGAUGCACACCAACUCGACUGCAUUCAAACACUCUAUAAACAGCACCACGUCCUAACUGGUCGCCAACGCUUGUUCCAGGAAUGGGUGAUUAAGCAUCUUAAUGAUGAAAACUCCUUGAAAACUAAUUAAUCAUAAGAACACUAAUUAAGCAUGUUAUAC